ACGCUGGCGGCGUGCCUAAUACAUGCAAGUCGAACGAGAGCGACCGGUGCUUGCACUGGUCAAUCUAGUGGCGAACGGGUGAGUAACACGUGGGUAACCUGCCCAUCAGAGGGGGAUAACAUUCGGAAACGGAUGCUAAAACCGCAUAGGUCUUCGAACCGCAUGGUUUGAAGAGGAAAAGAGGCGCAAGCUUCUGCUGAUGGAUGGACCCGCGGUGCAUUAGCUAGUUGGUGAGGUACGGCUCACCAAGGCCGUGAUGCAUAGCCGACCUGAGAGGGUGAUCGGCCACAUUGGGACUGAGACACGGCCCAAACUCCUACGGGAGGCAGCAGUAGGGAAUCUUCCGCAAUGGACGCAAGUCUGACGGAGCAACGCCGCGUGAGUGAAGAAGGUUUUCGGAUCGUAAAACUCUGUUGUUAGAGAAGAACAUGUGCUAGAGUAACUGUUAGCGCCCUGACGGUAUCUAACCAGAAAGCCACGGCUAACUACGUGCCAGCAGCCGCGGUAAUACGUAGGUGGCAAGCGUUGUCCGGAUUUAUUGGGCGUAAAGCGAGCGCAGGCGGUUUCUUAAGUCUGAUGUGAAAGCCCCCGGCUCAACCGGGGAGGGUCAUUGGAAACUGGGGAACUUGAGUGCAGAAGAGGAGAGUGGAAUUCCAUGUGUAGCGGUGAAAUGCGUAGAUAUAUGGAGGAACACCAGUGGCGAAGGCGACUCUCUGGUCUGUAACUGACGCUGAGGCUCGAAAGCGUGGGUAGCAAACAGGAUUAGAUACCCUGGUAGUCCACGCCGUAAACGAUGAGUGCUAAGUGUUGGAGGGUUUCCGCCCUUCAGUGCUGCAGUUAACGCAUUAAGCACUCCGCCUGGGGAGUACGACCGCAAGGUUGAAACUCAAAGGAAUUGACGGGGACCCGCACAAGCGGU
Molecule: ribosomal RNA, 919 nt
Filed under: uncultured bacterium
Lineage: Bacteria
Description: bacterial SSU rRNA
Rfam family: Bacterial small subunit ribosomal RNA
Source: RNAcentral